AAAAACCAGCCGCGGGCGCGCUAUGGACACCACUGGGUGUACGCAGAGUGCCCUGGGACUUAAAGGCUCAGCGACUGGAGCAUAAAGGCGGUGAGCCACCAUGAGAGGGGACAGAGGCUUUUUUGUGGAACAAACGUCCUUCCUGCCCAUCAAAGCUGCACAGACACUCCAGCACUUGAAAGCCUUUUGAAAAUGUACUUCCAUUGCUGUUCAACAAAGGAGAUGCCGUGCCAAGUGAAGUCAGCCCUGUGCAGCACUCCAGCACCAUUCAAAAGCUGCAAUCCCAGUAUGGAAAAGCCAAAUGCAACAAAAUGCCAUUCUGGGCUUUCUUACAAAAGAAUCUGAGAGAAAACAUCAACGACAGGUGGACAGCGAGGCCAAAACCUUAAAUAAUGCUUGAUAAGCUUUGUUGUGAGGUAGGCUGUAUACCAUUGAAAUAAUGUAGAAAUGUAUGCACCUUACUUUAUGCUAGGAAGCAUUUAUUAUGAACCAUUUAAUUAUCUCAUCUGCCGAGGUCACAGCCAACAAGCGGUGAAGGGCGAUGAUGUAAUGACAAUCAAGUGGUUGUCCCAUUAGUGGCUUUUUCCCCGUGGCCCAAGGUUUUAAAGGGUAAGACAAAGGGGAAGGGCUAAGGGGUGGAAUAUGAUUCAACCUUAUUUGUACCCGCUUCUUCCUUUCUUCUGCUCACUACAUUGCACCGCGACAGAUUGUUCCUCAGCCGCCAUUAUUAGGAGCUAGUCCCCCCUUUUCCGCUACAUAGCAAAGAUCGUGACUAUUGCACUUCACACUCACCAAUUGAAACACAUCCUAAGUCCAUGCCCAUAUCUUCAGCUACCGAUGGUAGGAAUUUUUGUCUGCCUCUCAAGGAGAUCGCAAAAUGACUAAACAGUGCAGCAGUGGCUCAGGAGGUAGAGCACAUCUUCCAGAAACCGGAAGGUUGGCGGUUUGAUCCUCGCUUCCUCCACCCAGUCUUUGUGUUAUUAUUAAAACCCUGCGGAAUCAAGAGAUUCAGAGAUCUGGCUCCUCCGUGCCUCUCUGUGAGGACACUUGGCAGGCGGUCACGACCCAGAGGGCGCCCAUUGAACACCUGGAUGAGACACCAGGUGAGGUCACCGGUGAUGUUGCAUUCAUGGCCAACACUGCCAAGCAUUGGUCUUGUGAGUGCUCCCCAACUUAAAUGAAAUCAGGGAAUAUUAAGACUAAUGCCAACAACUCCUCCUGUAAGUACUUCUACCUCCUAAAAGGUUUUUUCUUUCGUAUUUGCACAUGUGCGCCACAAACAUUUGCACUCCACCAGACGUGUGAUUGUUUCUGAGGAGUGGCAAAUUUAUCCUCCGCCUGCCAACGGAGCCCGGGCCCCAUUUUCUUGUUCAGUGGAGUGGAAGUGGAUGGUUCAGCUCUGUUUGCCAAUGUGCUACCAGAGAGAUCUAAUGCAAACACAAUUAGAACAGCGCCCGCGUCUGUUGUGCAUAAAUUUGAUUGACAGUUGGAAGGCAGCAUUAGCGAGGUGCGUAUACUCUGCAAAUCUGAGAACAAUUGCUUUGGUUGGAGGAGAGAACCAAGUUAUGCCGGCCUUAGCCUUUGGAGCUGCAGGUUAUGCUGGAUAUCUGCAGUCCCCCCGGGGGUUCCAGACUUACAGGGUUCAAGCAACCCACAGAAGUCUGAAAAUAUGUUGGCUGUUGGAAUUCUUGGAGAAAUAAGGCAUAUCGAAACAUUGGAAGAUAUGAUGUCCUUUUUUUAGAACAAGGCAAGCAUCUCUGCUUCCAUUCCAAUGUUCCUCACACAACACUUUCUGUUGCAUGGGCUUAGAAACCCCCUGCAGUCCAAGGCUUUGAUGCGGGGCAGUGCUUGGAAGUGGGCUACUGAUACAUUUAUUGAUUGCUCUGAACCGCAAGCACUCCCCCCGCAGUUCUGUGUUCCUUUUUCUUCGCUUGGUGGAUGACAAAUAGCAAAGAAACACUUUUCACUCUGCAAUCAAAAGUUGUUUCUCGAGCUUUCUUACCAAUGACACGCCAUGACGGAUAGAAUUUGCCUUUUUGUGUGUUUUUAAUGGCAGUGUACUUUGGCAUCUGGGUUGUUUUUAAGGAACUAUACUGGAGUGUUCGCGAAUGCAGUGUGUGGAAAGAGCUUUAUUUCUCCCAAUGAAUGGUUGGUAUGAAUGGUUGUAUUCACACAAUCAUUUUGAAUAAAGGUACACAAACAAUUUCUGCGGUGGUUGAUGAGAUACCGUUAUAUAUUAUAUACCGGCAGUAGCGGAAGGUAAAAGUGAUCAGAACUAAAUUGUAGGGGUGUCGCAAGAUCUCGUAUCUCGUUUGGAGAACAGCUGUAUCGUGAGAACAAGGCAGCCAGAAGCCAAUCAGACUGUGAACAAUGGCAUGACUACUAUGAACGAUAAUACAGUAAUAUGGAAGUGGCGGUGCGCAAGGCAUUAUUGGAAGCGUACAUUAAGUGCUUUACGCGCACACUGCAGUCCAACCUACCUUGGUGUUCACAGCGUCAGCGAGUGACAUGUGGCUGUUUUUUUUCCAUUGAACAGCUGCUUGCUACUUGUUGAUGUCCAAGCAGAAACUGUAGUCCUACAUUUGAUCAAUUUUACUUAAGAUUUGUCAGAAUGGACACCCAUUGCAUUUGUCCCAGCGCCAACUUUCAAGUACCGGCAAUCACCAGUUCCCGUUUUAUAACACACCUCAUACAUAGAAGAGAUAUGUGUUGACAAUUUGGCAACAUGGACGCUGUAUUUAGCCAGUAAGGUUGUGCUUUCGGUAAUGCAAUAAAUUAAAUAAUGAAAUAAAUUAAGUCAUCAACAAAGGUGAAGAAUCCGCGGCGCGGGAGUGAGCUCCAUCUCCGUAACGGCGUGCAAUGCGUGUCUUAAAGCUUUAAAAAAAAAAACCUCCACAAUGCAACCCAGCCCCUGACCAACAGAGCCAAGAAAGUAGAGUUUGGGCGCACUCGCCUUCCUGACGAAACACACGUGGGUGUCCAAAGUGUGGCGCCGGGUCCAUCUGUGGAACAUGGCUCACUGCAGAAAUAAAAAGCAAAGAAAUAAAGAGCAAAAGUGGAAACAGAGAGCAAAAAGUUAAGGAUACUAAUAACUAAUUAAAAAAAACACAAAGAUUUGUCUUUAAAUGUAUAUAUGUAUAAUGUAUUUUUUAAAAUAAAUUCUUCUAAAUUGUUUUAUUUAUUAUUAAUAUCAAAGGACAGCUGGACAGCCCUGACGUAAAUAGACAAAGACAAGUAGACAAGAGAAAAACAGUGAGCUGUAUUAUUAUCAUUAUUAUUAUACAGUUGAUUAGCAUAACAGUGGUUUAUUUGGUCACAAAAAAUGUACACCAUAACAUCUUUGAGUGUCAAUUUGUGGGACAAUAAACAUUUCAAAAUGCACCUGCAUUGUUUUAUGACUCAGUACUUGGUACAUCACCUUGGUGCAUCGUCUCGUCUUGUGAGUUGGGUGUCUUGUGGCACCCCUACUAAAUUGCCAUGAGGGCUGCACAAACAAUCAAAAAUAAAAUAGCCUAAGCCUAUUGUGAGCACCCCGUGGGGGCCCGCCCGCCAGAGACACAAAUAGUGAAACUUCACACUUAAAAUGUAGAACGACUUAUGCGGAUUAUAAUCGAUGCAAUACGGAGUAACACAUGCGUUAGAUACACAACAUACUCCGUAAAUCUAUAUUAAGUCUAUACUAAGUAAAUGGUAGCAUUUUCUCCCUCAACCUUCCCUAACAAUUUGCUGCUUGGGUGUCCUGAAGACGAUGACAUCUCUCUUUGAGCCUCACAAAUGUGGCCUGUGGCUCUCAAAGUGUCUGAUGGAGUCGUAUCCUUGGGUGAGUAAGUGAAACUUAUCUGGAGACAAAUAUUUGGAGUCAGACGUUGUCACAGAGAGUAAAUAGCUCUUUGCACCUGCUACUCGUCUUGUUCAAACUUCUGAUGGGCUGCAGUCCAUCAUGGAGGAGACACAUUUUGGUUGGAUUUGUCAGUCCUGCCUCCUCGCAGUGGAGGAAGUCUCUGUUGGCAGGGGGCGUCGAUGCUACUGAUGUCACAGAAAAAAGAAAAACAGGACUUACGUCGUGUUAAAUCUCUUCUCAGCAGCUGUCAGUCAAUCAGGUUCACAUCCUCAUGGUGUGCAGAGCAUGUUAACCCUUUGUGCUCUCCACAGGGGUCCAAUAUGGGAUUUCACUGGCUGGUUUGACUAUUUCAUCAUGUUGGAGGAGCCAGACUUGAAUAUAUUUGCACCUGUGACACAUCCUGAUUACCUAAGCAUAGUAAUAUUGCGUAACAACAGAGCUCACAACGAACUAAACAACCCCAUCAAAAUCGCAGGGGGGGGGGUUACCACUCCACAUGCCAGUCUUAGUCACGGUGUCUUAAAAGAAAGAGCAAAAGCAUCACACAGCAACGCAAUAGGUAGACAACAACAGACAAGACACUACCAAUAAUGCAGAACCAAAAACUAUGUGAGCUCAAAACGUGUAACUUAGCAGCCGUUUACAGUACAGUACAGCAAAGCACGCUGGGAAACAGGAAGUGCUGUUGUCAAAACACUGCUAAUGGUGAGCAGAAAAAACGCGGAAAUAGCGGCAGGCAGAUGUGGUAGUAGACUCGGCCACACUUGGCCACGCCCAAUCGCAAGUAUUUCUCAGAUGCUUGCUUACGUGACUUUUACAACGUCGUUUACAGCCACGUCAAGAAGCUAAGUGCUGAUGCUGUAUCCAUUAGCUUCACAACAGAUAUGUCUUUAGAUCAGGGGCGGCCAUUACGUCGAUCACGAGCUACCGGUAGAUCGCCAAGGUAGUUUGGGUCGAUCGCGUAAACGUCACUUUGCAGUUGUCAUAUGACAUCAGUCAGCUGACAUUAAGCUCCCCUCCUGAUUCGCGCUUGCUCCCCCGCAGCGUUUCAAGCUACACACGAAGAUGCAACGUUCAUCUUUAUUAUUGUGAUUAUGGAUGAACUAACUCUGUGGUAAGAUGUCUCUACAGUAUCUAUAACUAAAGUUAUCUGUCCACUUGUAGCGGCUAGCUACGUAGAAAAAAAGUGUAUUGUUUACUGGCUUUGCUUGGCGUCAUGAACUCUACUACAGAAAUCAGUGUUUUCUACACGUUGGCUUCUUAAACUAUUAUUUCAUGAUGAAAUUAAAAAUGUGCCCAUUGGUGAAACCUUUUCAAUAUGUUGCCUUGACUUGGGCUGCAUUGUCUUUUGCAUCAUCAUUUUAAAUUCUUGUAUAUGGGUAAUGUUUGAUAGCUAAUGCUAACUGGAUGUAAUACAUGAACUGUGUGCCCUAAUGAACGUUACAUAGCUAAUUUGACUGACAUAUUACCAGUACUCAGGUUAUGUACACAACUAUUUAGGAGUUAUGUGUAUUAUCUUUAUUUCCAUAUUGAAGUGAAUUAUGAUAGCAACUACUUUGAUUACCUGUAAACUUUGAAAAUGUGAAUAUGAAAUACUAAUCAGUAAUAUUUACAACUUUACUGGUUACAUUUUGUAUAUGUUAUAUGUUUUAUAGAAAGAGGUAGAUCAUUUUGACUUCUACUUGCAUGCUGAGAAAGCGCGUGCACUCCUUAAAUAUACAUGUAUAACGUACAUAAAUACAUACUCAGAUUUUAUUAAAAUAAAUAUAGUAAAUAUAUAUAUACUUUCUAUAUUUACAGUAGUAGGUAGAUCUUUGGGACUUGGUCAUUUUAAAAGUAGCUCGCAGGCUAAAAACGUGUGAGCACCCCUGCUUUAGAUAGAUACUUGUACUUGACUCAUGAUUUUUUUCAUGACUAUAUUGUUGAGACAAAAUGUAUUAAAUAAAUAUGGUACU
Dunckerocampus dactyliophorus (ringed pipefish) is the source of this 5796-nucleotide long non-coding RNA. RefSeq lists it as uncharacterized. The record is from RefSeq and is a predicted model, not a curated record. The transcript is spliced from 3 exons. Lineage: Eukaryota; Metazoa; Chordata; Actinopteri; Syngnathiformes; Syngnathidae.